GACGUAGGGCGCGAGCGUUGUCCGGAUUUAUUGGGCGUAAAGAGCUCGUAGGCGGCUCGUUGCGUCGGCUGUGAAAACCCGCAGCUUAACUGUGGGCCUGCAGCCGAUACGGGCGAGCUAGAGUUCGGUAGGGGAGACUGGAAUUCCUGGUGUAGCGGUGAAAUGCGCAGAUAUCAGGAGGAACACCGGUGGCGAAGGCGGGUCUCUGGGCCGAUACUGACGCUGAGGAGCGAAAGCGUGGGGAGCGAACAGG
RNAcentral lists this ribosomal RNA (253 nucleotides) under uncultured bacterium. Its description in RNAcentral is "partial 16S ribosomal RNA". It matches the Rfam family "Bacterial small subunit ribosomal RNA", at positions 524 to 776 of the family's 1533-position model. The record is from RNAcentral.